GGUUGGCACAGAGUAGUACUAUGUAAAAUUCUAUUCCAUAGUACGACCCAUGUCGGCCCA
This 60-nucleotide microRNA precursor is filed under the name Tribolium castaneum (red flour beetle). RNAcentral describes it as "Tca-Mir-3851-P8b_pre stem-loop". Lineage: Eukaryota; Metazoa; Arthropoda; Insecta; Coleoptera; Tenebrionidae. The record is from RNAcentral.